Molecule: unclassified non-coding RNA, 391 nt
Filed under: fungal sp.
Lineage: Eukaryota; Fungi
Description: partial internal transcribed spacer region
Rfam family: Eukaryotic small subunit ribosomal RNA (bases 1-46)
Source: RNAcentral
AAGUCGUAACAAGGUUUCCGUAGGUGAACCUGCGGAAGGAUCAUUAACACGUUAUCCAUACGUUAACCAAUGAGAAUCGUUUUCAUCUCCCUUCGCACCUGGAGGAGCGGUAACUGAUAGAGGCAUUGAAAGGGAUUACUUCGGUAGUCAGUUUCUAUCAGGAAUAGUGGUAAAUCGAAAGAUUUAUGCAAUACGCUGAACCAUUUCGCGGAGAUUCGUCCCGGACAGUGCUCUCCUUUCAUUGAGCGCUAGAUGGGAUAACUUAUUAACUUAUUUCACCUUUUUGCUAGUUGACUUUUAUAUGUUGUUCUUUGCGCUUGUCGUAAGGUUCACACGUUUAAUUAUUUGAACGUUAAAAAUACAACUCUUAGCAAUGGAUAUCUUGGUUCUC